This 244-nucleotide ribosomal RNA is filed under the name uncultured eukaryote. Its description in RNAcentral is "partial 18S ribosomal RNA". It matches the Rfam family "Eukaryotic small subunit ribosomal RNA", at positions 629 to 868 of the family's 1831-position model. The record is from RNAcentral.
CGUAGUUGGACUUCUGGUUUGGUGCGCUCGGCCCGCUCCCUUUAGGGAUGUGAGUGUUGACGCGCGCCUUCCAUCUUUGUACAGGACCUCUCUGCCCUUCACUGGGACUGGAUUGGCGAUGUGCAUCUUUUACUUUGAAAAAAUUAGAGUGUUUAAAGCAGGCUUGUGCUAUGAAUACAUUAGCAUGGAAUAAUAACUUAGGACUUUGGUUCUAUUUUGUUGGUUUCUAGGACCGAAGUAAUGA